RNAcentral lists this ribosomal RNA (377 nucleotides) under uncultured Gammaproteobacteria bacterium. RNAcentral describes it as "bacterial SSU rRNA". It matches the Rfam family "Bacterial small subunit ribosomal RNA", at positions 521 to 896 of the family's 1533-position model. The record is from RNAcentral. Lineage: Bacteria; Pseudomonadati; Pseudomonadota; Gammaproteobacteria.
UAAUACGGAGGGUGCGAGCGUUAAUCGGAAUUACUGGGCGUAAAGCGUGCGUAGGUGGCUUAGUAAGUCGGAUGUGAAAGCCCUGGGCUCAACCUGGGAACUGCAUUCGAUACUGCCAGGCUAGAGUAUGGUAGAGGGAAGUGGAAUUUCCGGUGUAGCGGUGAAAUGCGUAGAUAUCGGAAGGAACACCAGUGGCGAAGGCGGCUUCCUGGACCAAUACUGACACUGAGGUACGAAAGCGUGGGGAGCAAACAGGAUUAGAUACCCUGGUAGUCCACGCCCUAAACGAUGUCAACUAGCCGUUGGGGGAAUUUAAUCCUUUAGUGGCGCAGCUAACGCGUUAAGUUGACCGCCUGGGGAGUACGAUCGCAAGAUUA